GAAAAAGUGAGGGCCUUAACCUCUAGAGCGUGGAGCUACCAUAGCGCACGCGCAGGUCGGGCGUCGGGGCGAGAAGGUCCGGGUGCGUAAGUCCUUGACGUCCUCUUCGUUGCUUUCUCACAAAGUUCUCUUCGCACCUACGUAUCUGCAGCUCUGGUUAUCUUGGCGACGGCAGUCCUAGGUAACGGGUCUGAGCCACCCGGCCCAGACCACCGUAGUCAGCCCUGGAGCUUUCUAGUGGCUUCGUCCCUGGAUGGCUUUUUGUUUUAUCAAAAGCCCUCUCUGAAGGGGAUCGGAGCAUUUAAAAGAGGACGCGAUUGGAGUAUUUGCUUGGGUUUAUAAAACCGCGAGUUUCUUUAAAAUGAAUGUCAAGGUGCAAACACAAACAAGGUGUUAAGUGAGAAACAUGAUUGCUGCGACCCAUUUGUACUGAUUCGAUAAUAAAUCAUCUGAUUUACUUAACCCUAUUGUUUGGCCUUUUCUUAAUCUAUUACUAUUUUUCUUCCAUUAAUGUUCUUGUUUUUACCAUGUUUUCAGUGAUCACUGAGUGAUCACGUCUCUCUCUUGCGCAGAUUGAAGAAGUCUGUUGUAAUAAGUAGUAGCUCCUUAUUUUACAGUUGAUAAAAAACACCAAUAAUAUUCAAAACUUUGUGUAUAGUCUAAACUUGAAGGACAGCUUGGCUGGUUACAAUCCUAGGCUCACAUAUUUUUCUUGAGUACAUGAUGAGGCAAAUGUAGUUAUACGGUUGUGAGCAUGCAAAAGUUUAUUCAUGUAUUAUUUUUAUUAAUGUAUUACUUUCUAUGAACAACUGUAAACCUACUUUUGCCCCACCCUGUACAUAUUAAUUAAGGUCAUUUCACCGUUGUGAUGUUGAAUGUUGCUGUAAGUAAAUAUGAGUAUAAUUAUUUUGUCCUUAUAAGUAAGUUAUUUUGUCAAAAGAAACACCUCAGUAAAUUAUAACAUUACUACAAAAUGAAAUCCUAUGCAGGCACUUUAAAACUGCCAAGUAUUUAAUUACUGAUGGAAAUAUUCAUGGUAUAUAAAGUUACUAAAUCUUGAUACCAAGGUAAUAAAGGUGUAGAGGGUAAAACCCAACUAAAAGGUAAAUAGUGGUAACUUCUGUUAACCUAAUGGGGGAUGUUUUUUCUCUACAUCUUUGUAAUUUUUCUGUAUUUUCCAAAAUUUCUGCAAUAAGCAUGUAUUUGUAAAAUUCUCUUUAAAAUUAUAUACAAUCCACAUUAUAUUGGCAUCUUUGAAAUCCAGGGCAGACAGUAAGCCUCAUCAUUUAUAAACAGAUACCCAGACUUUAUUUUCUUUAAGACUUUGUCUGCAGUCAUACCUUUGGGAAGGUAAGUCAAGGAAAGGGAAACAAAAGGAGUGCUUGGGCCUCAUAAUUAAGUGUACUUCAAUUAAAUGUACCUUACAAUUAAAUGUACUUGCAAAAUGACUGCAAGUCUCAAGAUGUGAGCCAAUCAAACAAAUAUUUAUCUAGAAAAUAACAAACUUGCCUAGUUUUGCUCUUGUGCAACAUCCAUUAUUUUUCAAAUUCUCAGCACUGGCAACAUAGGUAGGAUUAUAUACACUGUUUUAAUCUCUCUGAGUUUACUUUCAACCUCAGGCUGAAAUGGAAAAUAUUCAUCUGUCACAGUUAAUGAAGAAGGCAUGGGCUUCUUUCAUUUCGCUAAUUCUGUUGAUUAGUGAAAAUGUACACAACAAUAUUGGGCAUAAGGCACAAAGCAUAAGGCAAGUCUUUUCCUCCCCCUUUCUGCCUAUAUCAUCAUACCCACUAUUUGUGACAGUUUAUGUAAUUUGCUAUUCCAGCCUUUUGUCUAAAUAGGAUCAGUAUUUUGCCUUCAGUUAUUCGUUUGUUUUAGUGGUCUGAGUCAUCUCCAUAUAUUUAUCUGCUUCCUUUUUCUUUAGUUUUGUUUGUCCAUAGGGAAGAUUUACUCCUUGUCUCUUUUUUAUUAGAAAUUCCAUUUUGACUGAAACAUAGACUUUUCAAACAAGAAUCUAAAAAGAAACUUUUUGAGAUUCUUGUCUAAAACUUAUAGUUCAGAUACAAGCUUCUCAAAAUCAGAGACUGUUUUUGUUUUCUGUAUCUCCAACACCUGGCAAAAGUACUUAGGACAUGAAAGAUGUUCAAUAAAUCUUGUUGAACUAACCUGACCUACUCAAUGAAUCAUUUUACUGGGAGAGAUGACUUGCCAACAAACAAUUGAAAUAUAGUGAGUGUCCAUCUACUAAAGAAUCAAACUAUGCUGCAACUCACAGGAAAAGCAUCUUGUAUUUGGCAGAUCUGCUUAUUGUACCGCUUCUGCUUAUUCACAGUGAAAAACACCAUAUUUUUAACAAAAAAGGAAAUGCAGAAGUGAAAACUAUUUAAAAGCAAACAAUUUAAAAUAAGAUGGAAUAGUCACUUUAAAAUAUUUUAAUUUUAUGCAUAUUAUGUUCUAACUCAAAAAAGAAUAUUGCACAGUGCUUUUAUAUCACAAUUGUUAUUUUUCUCACUCCAGUGAGAUUUUGAUAAACAAAGUUGACUUUGGAAAUAACAUAGAGAAUGUCUUGAUUGGUUAAAUAAUUUCAAUGACCUGUGAUGAACUGAAAGCAGGAUAUCACAUUCAUAUAAAAGACAAGUACAUAUUCAUAAAUUCACUUGGCUAUAGUGAAAAAUAAAUUUCUCAUGUACUUAAUAAAACUUAAAGUAGAGAAAAUUGAGAAUGCUGUGAAAGUAGAAUGUAACUCCACAACUUUUCAGUGUACUCAUUUGCUUCCAAAAAUCCAUUAAACCUGCAAGACUUCAAGAAUAUCUGAUCACAUUGUAAUCUUCUUAUACUGGAGAAGCUUACAUCUGAUAUUUUUAAAUCUAGAUUAAAACUAUUUUUAAAUCUAGAUUAUAUAAAUAUAUGUCUGUACUGUGAACAAAAUCUGUGAAUGGUAAGGUAAAGCUAACCAAAUAACAUAAA
Long non-coding RNA from Phyllostomus discolor (pale spear-nosed bat), 2964 nucleotides. RefSeq lists it as uncharacterized. The transcript is spliced from 3 exons. The record is from RefSeq and is a predicted model, not a curated record. NCBI's taxonomy places the organism in Eukaryota, Metazoa, Chordata, Mammalia, Chiroptera, Phyllostomidae.